Molecule: ribosomal RNA, 492 nt
Filed under: uncultured bacterium
Lineage: Bacteria
Description: partial 16S ribosomal RNA
Rfam family: Bacterial small subunit ribosomal RNA
Source: RNAcentral
AGCGAACGCUGGCGGUAGGCCUAACACAUGCAAGUCGAACGGCAGCACCUUAUGUGCUUGCUCUAACGGGUGGCGAGUGGCGGACGGGUGAGGAAUACAUCGGAAUCUACUUUUCCGCGGCGUGGAACUAAGGCAGGCUAACUGUAAUUCAUCCCCGAUCCGACGGCUGAAAGCAGCGGGUCUUCGAACACGGUUUGCUUGAAUCAGCGGAUGUCGGAUGAGCUAGUGGGCGGGGUAGAGGCGCACCAAGCCGACGAUCCGUAGGCGGGUUGCGAGGGUGAGCAGGCACAGUGGAACUGAGACAGGGACAAGACUCCGACGGGAGGCAGCGGUGGGGGAGAGUAGACAAGGGGCGCAAGCGUGAGCCAGCCGUAGCGCGUGGGUGAAGAAGGCCUUCGGGUUGUAAAGCCCUUUUGUUGGGGAAGAAGAGCAGGAGGUUAAGACGCCGCGGUUCUGACGGUAGCCGAAGAAUAAGCACCGGCUAACUUCGUG